UACGUAGGUGGCGAGCGUUGUCCGGAUUUACUGGGCGUAAAGGGAGCGUAGGCGGACUUUUAAGUGAGAUGUGAAAUAACCCGGGCCUCAACUUGGGUGCUGCAUUUCAAACUGGAAGUCUAGAGUGCAGGAGAGGAGAAUGGAACUCCUAGUGUAGCGGUGAAAUGCGUAGAGAUUAGGAAGAACACCAGUAGCGAAGGCGGCUCUCUGGACUGUAACUGACGCUGAGGCACGAAAGCGUGGGGAGCAAACAGGAUUAGAUACCCU
Molecule: ribosomal RNA, 267 nt
Filed under: uncultured prokaryote
Description: partial 16S ribosomal RNA
Rfam family: Bacterial small subunit ribosomal RNA
Source: RNAcentral